AUACCUAUGGACCACCUACUUACCUGCCAAUUUUUACUCCAGACACGGGGGAUUCAGGAGGAAACAGAACAAAGGUCCUGUCCUCAGGAAGCUUAUAUCACUCUGGUGGGGCAGACCGACAACAAAGAAAUACGCCAUGUCAAAAUAUGUCAGGUGGUGGUAAGUGCUAAGAAGAUGAAUAGGGUAAGUAGGGGAUAGUGAUUGACAGGUUGGGGAAGAGUGUUGUUGUUUAUCCUGGUGGUUCUAGAAGCCCUGCAAGUGAGGUGACAUCAAAGAAGAGACUUGAUGUAGACACGAGGCAAGAAUGUUCCAGGCCGUUAGACGUAUCAUCAUAAUCACACUCUACCGCUUUAACCUGCCUGGCGCUGGCCCCCUGCAGCCAGGCAGUGACUCUUAGAAAGAAAGCAUGACAUUUGCUCGUGGGGGGUCUUCGGUUCGGAACGUGGUCCGUACCACGUUGUUUGCAUGUGUCUGUCUCCCCCUCUAGAAAGUCUUUUGUAAUACUGAGCCGCCAGUCCAGGCAUAGCACUUGGAACAGAGGAGAACGUUUGUGAACCGACCGCCUGGCACACAGAGAUGCAUGAACAGAGGCCAGGAGCUGGGUGUGCGGCACAGGCCGAGGGCAGAAGCACAUCCUAGGAAGGAGGCAGGAGUGAUCUCUAAUUUCAGUCGCUGCAGUUGAUUUGGUGGCUUUGUGUUGGUCUUCUACAGAAAAAUAAUCGCAAACAUCUGUAUCAUGUCAGCUGCUGUCCUAAGCACUUUGCGUGUAUUAAUGCAUUUCAUGCUCAUAAAAGCUCCAUGUGACAGGUACUAAUAUCACACCCAUUUUAUAGGCCAAGGUUCUGAAGCAAGUGGUUUAGCUAAGGUCACACGGCUAAUGCUUGGGAGAGCCAGGAUGUAAACCCAAGAGCCCCUGUUCUUAUCCUUACCCCAUAGAUAUAUACUCCAUAUCCUUACCCCCUAGACUGGUCCCCUCGAUCUUUCACUGGGGUGUUUGUGCCCUGUGUUUCUCAGAAAAGCCAAAGCGUUUUUGAGACUCAGUUUCCAGGAAGGUCAAUGUAAGGCAAAGAUUUCAGAAAAAAAUGAAAUUUUAAUUAUAAGUCAUUUAAGACAUUUUUUUAUGCAACCAUAUGUUAUAGUGAAUAACCCAAAAAGCCAGGUGAAUUUUUAAGAUAAAAAAGGAGGCGUCCAAGCCCUGUUGGUGGGUUGCAGGGUUUCUAUCCCCAGGUCCCCUCCCCUGACUCCCAGCCCAGGGUGGCAGACUUCCCCUCAUCUCAGCACAAGUGUGUGUGUGUGUGUGUGUGUGUGUGUGUGCGUGUGCAUGUGUGUGUAUGUGUGUGUGUGAGAGAGAGAGAGAGAGAGAGAGCGAGCGCGGGCGUCCCCAGUCACUGUGACGUCUGGAUAGAAAUGAGUCAUGAACAUGUCAGGCUGGGCUACAGUAUGAAGUGUCACUUUCUGAUUUUUCUUCUUCAGGCCUGCGCCAGGGGUGGGGCGGGGGGGGGGGCAGGCAGGGAAGGGGCUGAGCCUUGACUCUCCACAGAAGCUUGCCCAGGGCUCCAGAGUUUCCGGUUUGUGCCUGUGGGACAGUGUCACACAAGGCUCAUCCUACUUAACACCACCAGGCAGUAAUGCAGGAGGCAGGAGGGACCUCUCAUCCUCUGUACCUUCAAAUACCCCCGCCCAGGCCCAGCAUCCAGUUUGCAGAGCACAUCCUUAGGUGUUGCCUCCCGCAGAGUGAGAGGCGUGUUCUGUGACCUGUGUUUUCUGUAUGUCCGUGUAUGUCAAGCCCAGGAACCAGUGUCCUCACUGCUGUGUGCCCCAGAAUGGGUCUCCCUGCGGAGGCAAUGCCCAUGGGUGUUUUAAAGGCAGAGCAAGAUGAAUGUAGGCUGACACUUCCCCCCUCUAUUGACAAGGAACUGACAGGCCUCGCAGAGGACAGACCUGGUAAUUAAUGUGCCAGCAUCUUCAUUGACAAGGCAAAAAAGCAAAUACACAAGCCGAGGGGAGUGAGUCACGCCGACGGGGGACAGGGAUGGCGGUGGGGAUGGGGAAAGGGCAGGGAGGUGUGGGGUGUGUCUGGGGGAUGGGAAGGGCUCAGGCGGGGUGAGCUGGGAGCGAGCAGAGCGAGAGAACAGAAUUGUCUGUGCAUCUGGGAGGAAAUGUAUGUGUGAGAGAAAGAAAACGUGAGAGAAUGUGUCUGAGAGCAAAUGUAGGGGUGGGUGAGGAGAAAUGUGCGUGUGACUGACAGAAGGAGGGAGGGAGGCGGGCGGGGUGCGGGCAGCGGGCCUCUCUCAUCCCUCCUUCAGCCACAAGGGCUUCUGGAAAGCCCUGCAGUUUGGAGUGAGGGACAUGCAGGAGAGGUGAGAUUUCAUUACCUUUCCCUUUGUGUGAUAUUUUCGUGUUAGAAAUGUAAGACGGGAACUAUAAAUAAUCCAGUCACAGCUGCGGCAUCCUGGAGAUUUAUGGUGCGUGCCAAUGCCGGCCAGCUUCGGGCGGGGGGUGGCUUUGCUUUACAGAGCCAAGAUAAAAGGCUGCCCCUCCUGCACUUGGCCCUCCCGGCCCUGGCCGCUCCCCACCCCCCCCCCCACCCCCCCCCCCCCCCGCCUCCUGGCACAAGCCAUCCCUCCUGAGCUGCAGACCCCAGGGGAGAGAGAGGCUCACAAGUGCCUAGAAACCCCUUGUCCUGGGCAGCCUGGGGCCAAGUACCAAGUAGGCAGCCAGGGGAUGUCGGGAAGACCAGUGAGGCAGGGGCCAGUGUGGGCAAAGGUGCAGGCCUGCCGUGGGAGGCCCCCCUUUGCUCAGCUGCCACAGACAAGGGGGGACCAACAGGUGGCCCAGCCACAGCCAGGCUCAAGUCUGAGGUCCCUGGAGCACGGGCCAAUGGCCCUCUAUUCCUGGCCUCCUUUCUGGGCAGGGGUCUUGUUCCGUGCACCAUCAGCAGUACGACCAAGCUGUGCUUGGUGCAAGACCCUGGUGGGGGCGGAUGGCCACCCCCACCCCCCUGCCCCGCCGCUUCCCAGGAGAGGGUGCACGCCCUGUUGGCCUGAGAAGGGGUCGUCCUCCAAGAACUUGGGAGCUGCUGGCCAGUCCAGUGACACCCAGGGAAGAGACAGACAGUGUAUUUGGGACAGUGAGAGGGCAGGAAGGGGGCAGCCUGGGCUCCCCACGUCACCUCCCAGGAUCUCUCUCCAGCCUUGUUGUGAGGACAGGGGGAAGAGGUGCAGGAAGACAUUUGAGAGCCAGCCACAGGCUUGUCCUUGGGACUCACGGGACCGAAGGAAGAGGAAGGUCAGGGGUCUCAGGGAGAGGAGCUGGUUCGAGGCCCCCUUGUGACAUGCCUGGGCUUCCCUGCAGUGUCUCACGAGUACACUUGUGUGGCUGUGUCCCACGAGCCCUCGGCUUCCCGAGGGCAAGAGACAUGGACGCACGGCUCUCACGGCAGCCUGGUGGCUACAUGCGCCCUGGCCCCGGGCUUGAUGCAUCAGUUCUGCAGAAUGGUGGGACCCUGGUGCUGACAUGUGCAUGUACGGACCCCACAGAAUGGAGCCCUGGAGGGAGUGUGUGGAGUGGGGGAGCAGAGCCACCUGGAUCUCUGAACCCCACUCGGUCCCCUCCUGUUAGUCCUCGGGCUGUCCCUGGGGCUGAGGGUCUCUGUGCCAGCCUGCCCCCGGCCCCUCCUGCCUUCUCUGGAAACCCCGGGGCUGGUGCAGCCCAGGAACUGCAGGCACCAGCCUGUCACCUCGAUGGUUCUCGCUUUGCUUCCCUUCUGAUUCUCUGAGCAAAUAUUGAACAUCCAGAGACACAUCCGAAUCCUCGGCGUGGGGGUGGGAGGUGGAGGCGGUGACAUAACUGGCUACUUCUUGGGGCAGCUCAGUCAAGAUCAACCUCAGCUCCAGGCCUCUGGCCGAGGGAGGCUGCUGAGGGGGUGGGGGUGUUAGUCCAGUGGGCAGAGAAGGGCCCUUUCUUUAGAGGAUUCCUUCAGGGCAUCUGGUGCGUGACUGUGGACUUCCAAAGCAGCCACACAUGGGUUGUGGCAGGGUCUUUUCCUGGGGCAGUGCGGUCUAUUUUCUGCCAGCCUCCUAAAGCAAACCAUGUCUGGGAGUGGGGCACACGCGGUAGAAUGAAAUCCCCUGGGGUGUCCCAGAGGCAGCUCAGCCAUAAGCACGAAUGACCUCAAAGCAAGCUUGCCGAAUUUCGUGAAUGGCAGAGCCGUGAUAUUCGGAAGGGGAACCGGGAUCCUCUGAGGAUGUGUCCCCGCUUGAUGCAUUCCUGAUGCACCUGUCGGGGGUCACCACUCUAUGCAUCAUCACGCUGUUCUGGGUGGUUGUGCCAGCCAGGGUGCUGACUGUAAGAGGCAGAAAUGGACUCUGACAUUCUCAAGCAGAGAAAAGAUUUGCUGGAGGGAUUGGGGGCUGCUCACAGCAUCGGUGGGAAGGCUGGAGUCCCAGCUUGGAAGGUGAGCAGGAUCCAAGAGAUGCUAGGCAAUCAGCGUCAUUGCCAAGGUCACGCCACAGGGCAGCCUGCUUAGGAUGCCUUUGCUGUUACCACCCCUCUGCCAUUAAUGGUGUGAUGACAGGUAAUUUUGUGUGUCAACUUGACUGGACCAUGAGAUGCCCAGAUAUUUGGUCAAACAUUAUUCUGGGUGUCUCUGGAUAAGAUUAACAUUUGAAUCCUUAGGCUGAGUAAAGCAGAUUGCCCUCUCCAAUGCUAGUGAGCUUAAAUAGAACAAAAACGUGGAAGAAGGGAGAAUGUUCUCUCCGCCUAUUGAGCAGGAAGGUCAGUCUUCUCCUGCCCUUGGACUGGGAUUUACCCCAUCGGUUCUCCUGGUCCUCCAGGUCUUUGGAUUCAGACUCUUGUCCCAUGAAUACUCCUCAGGAAGGGAAAUUCCUACCCCAUCCCCCCAAAUGUGGAAGGAACACUCUGGAUGGCCUUCUCAGUCUGCCCCUCCAGAGUUCCAUCCUUCUAUCUUUUCCCCCAACUCCGAAGUCCAAGAGGCUGACCUGUGUGGGCCUCAUCAGCCGAAAUCCCAUGCCUCUGGCUUCCAGGGUCUCCCACUGGAGGAGACUAGGAAGGUGGGCGGAGAGAGGUCGGGGUAUUUUUCCCCUUGUUUCUUUCCUUUGCAGCUCUCACUCUUUUCAGCUUCCAGCCGUCUCCCUCCCUGUCACAUCAAGGUCUGCAGAAUUCCUUCUGGUUUCUUUUAGCACUGCCUGCCCUAGGCAAAUAGUGCCUUUUGAAAGACUCCUCAAUUGCCCUAGUUGAGGGUAAUGCCUCUUACCUGCUGGCACCUCACAUGGGACAGGAAGUCUGGAGAUUGGGAGGCAACAGAGCCCCAGCAAAUGCCCACAACGUGGUGGUCCAGAUGCGGAGGGGAGGCAGGGUGCAUGGUACAGUGGCAAGAGCAUGGACUUUGGAGACAGACUUACUAGGGUCUGAAUUCUCAGCCCGACUCUUAGUAGCUCUGUGAACUUGGUCAGGUUCUUAACCAGGCUGACCCUUCUUUGUUCUUCACCUGGGAAAUAAAAGUUCAUAUGGAUGUCAUAGAUUUAUUGUGAGAAUUGAAUGAGACAAAUUUUUAAGCACUCAGGACACCAGUGAUGGCAAAAAGGGUCUACCUUAAUGUGCCAGCUCCAACUGAUCAGUUAGGGCUCCUGGGAGCCCUGGGUGAAGAAUUCUGACAUCUCAUCCUGGCCUGGGGGUGAUGGGUGCACUCAUGAUUGAUUAGUGAUGUCUGUCGUGGUGUGGCUUGGGAAGUGGCAGUAGGAUGCACUUGCCUUUUCUGUAGUAAACCCCCACUGAGUGAUAGCUAUCAAGUUUUAUAUUUCUUUGCUUCUUGGGAGGGGAAGUCGGAUUCCUAUCUGACCACCAGUGCUGCCCAGGUCCUGAGGCAUCGAGCUACCUCUCUUGGCACAUCUCAGAUUCCUCAGUAGUGCCGAUGCUCCGACCGGCCCUUUCCUUUGAUCAGCAAACGGCUUCAGCCCUAUCUGGGUUGUUUAAGGUCUUCUUUCUCUGGGAACGUUCUCUUGCUCUUUUCAAUCCCCAAAUGCCCAGCCUGAUUCUCCCCUCCGUGUCUACCACCCUCUCUCCAUAGAAAAUAAUAGGGAAUUGUAUACAUUUAACUUGAAUUUCUCUGCCUCAUGUCACCUCACUUUCCAAAUCUCCCCCAUUAUCUCCUGCCCCAACCCAGGGGGGCCUGGCAUUAUCCCAGCCACACACACCAGAGGAGGUUGAAGACAGAAGAGGUGAAGAGAAUCAUGGCCACAGGUGUCCUACUGUGUGAACUGGAGACUUAGUGAUCAUCAGGUGGCUCUUGGAGUAGCAAAAAAGGCUGUCCUCCACCCUGCAGCCAGUGCAAGCUUUUAAAAAUGCGAAUCAUUUCUAGCCUGAAAACCUUCCGGUGGCCUCCCGCCGCAUCUGGAAUAAAUCCAAACUUCCAACUAUGGCCUGCCUCCAUUCCAAUCUUUGAAACUUUGUGGCCUCGUCUCCCAGUCCUCUGGCACCCUCUGCCUCAGCCACAUAGGCCAGAGCCUUUGCACUUGACCUGCCUUCUCCUGGACCCCUUUGCAGUGGGGUGCUGUCUUGGCUCCAGAUUUCAGCUCGACAUGGUGACAUUAUCGGUGGCACCUUCCCUGACUUCUCCAUUUAAAUUGGUACCUCCAGGGGUUCCUGGCUGGCUCGGUUGGAAGAGCAUGCGACUCUUGAUCUCAGGAUUGUGAGUUUGAGCUCCACAUUGGGUGUGGAGGUUACUUAAAUUAAUAAAGAAAUAAGCUUAAAACAAACGGCAUCUUCAGUCUCUCUCUGGCCCAUCUCUCCAACUUCUUUUCUCCUGGCAGUAACAGAGCCUGAGAGUCAGUUCUGCACAGAGGUAAGUGGGAGCAGCCCCCUGCAGUAGGAAGGACGCUGGAUCGGAUGGGGCGGG
This is a long non-coding RNA of Leopardus geoffroyi (Geoffroy's cat), 6916 nucleotides long. RefSeq lists it as uncharacterized. The transcript is spliced from 2 exons. The record is from RefSeq and is a predicted model, not a curated record. NCBI's taxonomy places the organism in Eukaryota, Metazoa, Chordata, Mammalia, Carnivora, Felidae.